GGAGAAGAAAAAUGAUAUAGUUCAGUGACUUGGAUCUACAUAAAGAAAGGAAGAGUGACAGAGAAGGAAUAGAUGAAGAAUAAAGAAGUUCUUCAUGUAUAUUUAUGGGAAAAUUGCUAAGGUGUAGUCUCAAGUCCUAAAAAAGCAAAGUUCAGGAAGUGGACUCCCUGAAGAAACAGGAAAGAGCACAGGAGAUGAGGAACAAACACAGCCAAUGGUGAGGCCCUCAGCAGGGAGCAAGGAGGGGGUGCUGUUGUUAAUAAAAAAAGAAGAAAGAAGAUUUUCAUCUAAAAUGAGAAAAGAGGAGAGAAAACAGCUGCAUUUAUGCAAGAUGGAAUAAAUCCAGUGUUGAAGAUGAAGCCCGCAGUAGCAGGCCAUUCACAUCAACUUGCAAGGAAAAAAUUCACCUUGUUUGUGCUUUAAUUGAAGAGGACUGAUGAUUAACAGCAGAAACAAGAGCCAACAUCACAGACAUCUCAAAUGGUUCAGCUUACACAAUUCUGAAUGAAAAAUUAAAGUUUAACAAACUUUCCACUUGUUGAGUUCCAAAACCAUUGUGUCCACCAAAUCAUCUGCAGACAAAAAAAAGUUUUCAAUGAAAAUUUUAAACAAGUAGGAUCAAGAUCCUGAAGCAUUUUUUAAGAAGAAUUGUAACAGAAAAUGAAACAAUGCUUACCAAUAUUAUCCUGAAGACAAGACAUAAUCAGAGCAAUGGUUACUAAGACAUAGAAGUGGCCCAGUCAAAGCAAAAGGGAACCAGCCAAGAGCAGAGGUCAUGGUAACAAUUUUGGGGGAUUGUCAAGGCAUUUUGCUUGCUGAUUUUUCUGGAAGGCCAAUAAAUGAUAACAUCUGCUUAUUAUGAGAGUGUUGAGAAAGUUAACUAAAGCUUGAGCAGAAAAAAACAAAAAAGUCUGGGAAAGCAUUACUAGAGAGUCCUAUUCCACCAUGACAAUGCUCCUGCUCACUCCUUUCAUCAAACAAGGGAAACUUUGGGAGCAUUUCAGUGGGAAAUUAUUAGGCAUUCACCUUACAGGUGUUAUUUGGUGUCUUCUGACUUCUUUUUGCUGUCUAACCUUAAAAAAAAUCUGUAAGGGGCACCCACUUUUCUUCAGUUACCUCAUGUCAAGAUCCUUAAUUUAAUCGACUGAUCAGUCCCUUUUGCCACAUGAGGUAACAUAUUCACAUUCUCUUCCUUUCUGCAAAUACUUACGGAAUGCCACUAUGUACUUGGCACUAUACUAGACACUUGGGAUAUAGAAGUUAACAGUGACAAUUGGUAAGAAAGACCCCUAGCACCUCUAAAGGAAUAUAAAACAUGAUAUUUCAUAUAAUUACACAUAAAAAUCAC
This 1348-nucleotide long non-coding RNA is filed under the name Homo sapiens (human). RNAcentral describes it as "HSALNT0069630". The record is from RNAcentral. Lineage: Eukaryota; Metazoa; Chordata; Mammalia; Primates; Hominidae.